AGCGAACGCUGGCGGCAGGCCUAACACAUGCAAGUCGAACGAACUCUUCGGAGUUAGUGGCGGACGGGUGAGUAACACGUGGGAACGUGCCUUUAGGUUCGGAAUAACUCAGGGAAACUUGUGCUAAUACCGAAUGUGUCCUUCGGGGGCAAGAUUUAUCGCCCUUAUAGCGGCCCGCGUCUGAUUAGCUAGUUGGUGAGGUAAAGGCGCACCAAGGCGACGAUCAGUAGCUGGUCUGAGAGGAUGAUCAGCCACAUUGGGACUGAGACACGGCCCAAACUCCUACGGGAGGCAGCAGUGGGGAAUCUUGCGCAAUGGGCGAAAGCCUGACGCAGCCAUGCCGCGUGAAUGAUGAAGGUCUUAGGAUUGUAAAAUUCUUUCACCGGGGACGAUAAUGACGGUACCCGGAGAAGAAGCCCCGGCUAACUUCGUG
Molecule: ribosomal RNA, 433 nt
Filed under: uncultured bacterium
Lineage: Bacteria
Description: partial 16S ribosomal RNA
Rfam family: Bacterial small subunit ribosomal RNA
Source: RNAcentral